GUGUCUAACUAGAUAACAUAAUAUAUAUUUGUAUAUGUGUAGGAUUAUAUACAAGAAUAUACUUUCGUGAUUGGUGCAUAUUGUAGUCGCGUAAUUCUGAGUUAUUCGACUAUGUCUAUGUGUUAGGUUUUACCGAUAACUUUAACGCGUAAAUCUAGAUAUUGUUUAGAUCUAUUUGAAAAUGAUUGUGUGCAAUUUUUCUGCUCUUUCAUUUUUUUUAUGCCCUCGCUAUCAUUGGUCUUUCUUAUUUAUUUAUUUAAAAAAGCAUCAUCAGUUUUGUAGAUGAAUGCAUCAAUCUGUUAAGAAUAUUCAUUUUACCUUGUGAUGUGUAUUGCUGCUGUAACAUUUGCUACAUGACUUAGUAUUUUAUGAUGCAUCUUUUACAAUGUUGAAUUCAGUCUAUUUGAAGACACUCUAGUAUAUAGGCAACCGCUAACACCUUGCUAUUUGACUUGAUCUGUCAUAGAAGGUUUGUAUAUUUUGUGUAACUUGAGUGAUGCGCUGAGACUGUAUAUGAACAUCAUAUAUUGAGAAGAUAAGGUUUUUGCCUAUGUAUUAUUAGCUGAUUAAUGCAUAUUGCAGUUUUCGUUCUUGUUGCAAUAUUGCCCGUUUACAUGUUAUUUGGCUUUUAUCAAUUUUGGUAUCCAUACCAAAAGACCCCUGCUGCACCAAGUUUGAAUUGUGUAGUUAAUGACAGUGAAAUUUCUCAUUUUUGUCUUCUAAGUAUAUGAUGAACGCUUUACUCAGGGUGAAUUGAUACAAUCUUGAAUUUACUAAACAAAUUAGUUUAAUAUUCAUCGGCCUUAUUGGUUAAGCAUUAAAAUAUCUUAAUAUUUUCCAUCUGUCCCUUGUUUCUAGUAUGAGGAUUGAGGCAAUGUAGGGGUGUAACAUUAUUUCAAUUUGGCGGACUUUAUAGUGGAAUAGCAAAUCUAGCUCUGAACUCUGUUGGCAUUGUUGACUGUUAAUUGAGUUGAACAUAACGUGACUAGGAUGAAACAGGCGGACUUUAUAGUGGAAUAUCAAAUCUAGCUCUGAACUCUGUUGGCAUUGUUGACUGUUAAUUGAGUUGAACAUAACAUGACUAGGAUGAAACAAAUCUUUUUGAUUGAAAACCUAACCUACAUUUGUUAGUGUUAUGAUUGAUUGCUUAUGUACACAAAGACCGUCUUAUCUUGGGCAAAUAUGAGCUUUUAUUUGCAGAGUUUUGCUGUGUUUUGUGAUGAUAGCUCAUUUAUGGCGCAAUUUAAGCCCUUAUGCUCCGAAAAGCUUGGGGAGGGCGCUUCACCUUGCUUAAUGUGCGCUGCAG
RNAcentral lists this long non-coding RNA (1306 nucleotides) under Nicotiana benthamiana. Its description in RNAcentral is "long non-coding RNA (NBEN_LNC037780)". Lineage: Eukaryota; Viridiplantae; Streptophyta; Magnoliopsida; Solanales; Solanaceae. The record is from RNAcentral.